Molecule: ribosomal RNA, 440 nt
Filed under: uncultured bacterium
Lineage: Bacteria
Description: partial 16S ribosomal RNA
Rfam family: Bacterial small subunit ribosomal RNA
Source: RNAcentral
CCUACGGGAGGCAGCAGUGGGGAAUAUUGGACAAUGGGGGAAACCCUGAUGCAGCGACGCCGCGUGAGUGAAGAAGUAUUUCGGUAUGUAAAGCUCUAUCAGCAGGGAAGAAAAUGACGAUACGUGACUAAGAAGCCCCGUCUAACUACGUGCCAGCAGCCGCAGUAAUACGUCGGGGGCAAGGGUUAUCCGGAUUUACUGGGUGUAAGGGGGGCGUAGACGGCGGAAUAAGUCAGAAGUGAAAGCCCGGGGAUCAACCCUGGGAGGGCUUGUGAAACUGUUUGGCUGGAGUGCAGGAGAGGUAAGCGGAAUGCCUAGUGUAGCGGUGAAAUGCGUAGAUAUUAGGAGGAACACCAGUGGCGAAGGCGGCUUACUGGACUGUAACUGACGUUGAGGCUCGAAAGCGUGGGGAGCAAACAGGAUUAGAUACCCGAGUAGUC